Molecule: microRNA precursor, 98 nt
Filed under: Poecilia formosa (Amazon molly)
Lineage: Eukaryota; Metazoa; Chordata; Actinopteri; Cyprinodontiformes; Poeciliidae
Description: mir-210 microRNA precursor family
Rfam family: mir-210 microRNA precursor family
Source: Rfam by way of RNAcentral
UCUAAAAGCAGGUAAGCCACUGACUAACGCACAUUGUGCCAUUUGCCAGUUCCACUGUGCGUGUGACAGCGGCUAACCUGGUUUUGGGAAUACCGCUC